This 305-nucleotide ribosomal RNA is filed under the name uncultured bacterium. RNAcentral describes it as "bacterial SSU rRNA". It matches the Rfam family "Bacterial small subunit ribosomal RNA", at positions 338 to 661 of the family's 1533-position model. The record is from RNAcentral.
CCUACGGGGGGCAGCAGUGGGGAAUAUUGCACAAUGGGGGAAACCCUGAUGCAGCAACGCCGCGUGAGUGAAGAAGUAUUUCGGUAUGUAAAGCUCUAUCAGCAGGGAAGAAAAUGACGGUACCUGACUAAGAAGCUCCGGCUAAUACGUGCCAGCAGCCGCGGUAAUACGUAUGGAGCAAGCGUUAUCCGGAUUUACUGGGUGUAAAGGGAGCGCAGGCGGUACGGCAAGUCUGAUGUGAAAAUCCGGGGCCCAACCCCGGAACUGCAUUGGAAACUGUAUUUCUAGAGUGUCGGAGAGGCAAG